RNAcentral lists this ribosomal RNA (325 nucleotides) under Rhogostoma sp. RNAcentral's name for it is "SSU rRNA". The stretch from base 60 to 325 matches the Rfam family "Eukaryotic small subunit ribosomal RNA", at positions 690 to 955 of the family's 1831-position model. The record is from RNAcentral. Lineage: Eukaryota; Cercozoa; Thecofilosea; Cryomonadida; Rhogostomidae.
GACUUCUGGUUUAAUGCACCUGGCCCGCGGCCUUUUAGGCAUGUGAGUGCCGGCGCGCGUUUACCAUCCUUCCAGAUAACAAGUCUUCCCUUCACUGGGCCGGAUUUGGGGUCUGGAUCUUUUACUUUGAAAAAAUUAGAGUGUUUAAAGCAGGCGUUUGCUAUGAAUACAUUAGCAUGGAAUAAUAAUCUAGGACUUUCGGUUCUAUUUUGUUGGUGUUCUGGAGCUGAAGUAAUGAUUGAUAGGGAUAGUUGGGGGUGCUAGUAUUCAAUGGCCAGAGGUGAAAUUCUCGGAUUCCUUGAAGACUAACUUAUGCGAAAGCAUU